AAAACAAAAGGGCAAAUUUGGAAUUUCAUCCCUUCAAUGCUUUCCCCUCCUUUUUGAAGUGUCUUCCCCUCACAUAGAGAUUGCGAGAGAGCGAGAGAGAGCAGCGCAAGAACAGCUUCUGAAAAAUGGACGGACAAGAAUCAGACGAUCAAAAACAAAGCACUGCUGACAUGACUGCCUUUGUGCAAAACCUUCUGAUGCAGAUGGUGAGUUUCUUGUCCACAUUGUAACACCUUCCAUUUGAAAAUUCAGAAAAUCAAGAAUGCUACCAUGAUGCAGGUGCUUCAUGGAAUUCUGUAAAGUAUACAUGGAAACAUCUCUAUUGUACCGUGAGUCCGUGACACUUGCUUACAGAGAUCAUGACUGUUGAUCCGGUAGUCCAUUGCAUGGAUGGCCCAUAUCCCAAAAAGCAGUGGAAUCUUAUUGUGGUAGUCAUAUGGUUGCAUGGAGCAUGAAGGAGGUGACAAUAGAUUUGGGUGUGGGCGCAGGGUAGUGUCCUUCUCAAAAUGUUGUCUAGUAUAAACAGCUAGAAUGCAGGAGUCAAAGUGUGAGUCCGAAGCAUGAUCUGAGGCGGGAGUGUCACUGGGGUAGAAGGUUUGUGAAACAAAGGGUAGCCAUCCAAUUAGCGGCCUUAAAAGGGAUUAUCAACACACACCCACACAAAAGAAGUAAAAGAAGAAGGGUCCACAUUCAACAGGUUAAAUGCACAACAAUCAAACCUUCUGACUUGUCCAAUCACUACAAUCUUUUGUUUGGGGUCCACCAGAUCAACAGCCUCUCAAUCACCAUACAAGUUUGUCAUGCGUUCAGUGGGGUUGAUACAUUGGCAUUUCAGAGAAUAAGCAUGAAGCGUGCAUCAUGAUAGCAUCUCUCUAGGAGUAAAAUCAGGCAAAGCAGAUUCCAGGCAAUGUCUGAGUCGAUUGUCUCAAAGAAUAUCCUUUUUUCACCAGUGCUUUCUUGCAAUGCAAACUUGAAAGUUAAAACUGUGUUCAGGUGGUACAACCUAAUCAAGAGCUUUUCUAAGUUCACAUACGUGUGCAAUAAAGCUUAUGUGUCAUGACACAUGAGCGCCAGCAUGGCACAUAUGUGCAAGAUUGAAUCCAUCCAUCAGGUUGGUUCUACCUUGUACAUGUUUUCCCAAAAAUAAAUCUGGUCCAGUCAGCAUGUGGACCCAAAUAUUGAAACAUGUCAAUGGUUUAGAAAACUCCAGCCAACUUUUUCAGAGCCAAACAUUUGUUUUGCAAACUGUGGCACACCUGACCAAUGGAUCAACCUGAUUCUUGGGCUGAGAUAUCAAUAUAGCGGUACCAUACCAACCGAUGGAUUGGAUCUUGGAUCUAUCAUGCCAUGCUGGCACAUGUGUGGGGUGGACGUGAGCUUUAUUGCACGUGUGUUGGCUUAGUGAAGCUCCCGAAUAAAAUUGCAAUCAUUCGGCUUAAGAAACAGCCAAACUAUAAUGCCUUUUUUUUUUGCCUAACUAUAAUGACUUAUCCCCUCAUUCAUAAUGAGGAUGUAACCCUCACAUUAUAGUCGCACUGCUUUUGAAUCGGACGUGAAAGUGAUGUAAUUACUAUCGGGAGCCUUAUCUUUCAAUAUGAAUGUCAAGGCAAAGCAAUUGCAAUUUGGCCACCUGCAUCAUUGAGCUAUUAUUGCAAUUAAAUUUGACGGUGCAACCAAACGCAGGUUCAAUGACUAAUGCACAUUUUAUUGAAGAAUGCUUUAAUAUACCGAGUUUGUGAGAACCUUUCCAUGUAUCUAGUUUCAUUUUGGUUAUUUGGACAAUCAUUAUCAUUGAUCUUGAGUGUCACCUUGUUCGGAAAUGCAUGGUGAAGAUCGUCUUUAAAAGAGUAGGUCCAAUCAGGAAUUCGAUAGUCCAAUUUGGUUGAAUCCACCUUGGAUUGCUUAUGGAUCUAGACAUUAUAACAUUACUCUGGUCAGAUGAAGCUAUCCAUCCAAUCCGUCUUUGAAAAUGGAUGCUUAUGUUGAAAGUGACCAGACCAUGGAAAGUUAGAAUCAUGUGAUGGAUGUGAUUUUCCUUCUGGCACAGGAAGAGUUUGUUGGAUUGAAUGGGCAGUUCAGAUUGGCAAUGCUGCUGCCCAUGUAUCCAAAUGUAACUCCACAAAAUGCCUUUUUCAUUUGCACGACUUGUAUGAAUGGAUGCCUCGGGAGUUUCCUUGACUGCUAGCCACUCGAUGAAAUGGGUACCAGGAUAGAUGAAUUGGAGCAGAGCAUCAAUGACCUCAAAACUGAAAUGGGGGCGGACAGCUCGUCCCCUUUGGCCCCUGCUAAAACGAAGCCCGAAGAAACCAAACCAACAGAUGGUUCGACAUGAGAUUGCUGAGUUGCAAGGAUGGAAUCUCUGAUCUGAAAGAUGACUCACAAGGCCUUUUACUUGCUUGAUGUCUCUAUCUACUGUUUUGUUGGAGAUUGAAGGUGUGGAAACUAGAACUUUUACUUGAUUGUCUGAGUGUUGCAGGUGUUUAUGUAUUUUUUCAGGAUUUAUAUUUCAUUCUCACACAUGCCAGAGAAGUAGGA
Magnolia sinica is the source of this 2535-nucleotide RNA transcript. It is a transcript of the gene named heat shock factor-binding protein-like, with no coding region annotated. The record is from RefSeq and is a predicted model, not a curated record. NCBI's taxonomy places the organism in Eukaryota, Viridiplantae, Streptophyta, Magnoliopsida, Magnoliales, Magnoliaceae. The transcript has 4 exons.